RNAcentral lists this RNase P RNA (306 nucleotides) under Candidatus Mediterraneibacter norfolkensis. RNAcentral describes it as "partial RNase P RNA component class A". It matches the Rfam family "Bacterial RNase P class A", at positions 96 to 367 of the family's 367-position model. Rfam says of the family: Ribonuclease P (RNase P) is a ubiquitous endoribonuclease, found in archaea, bacteria and eukarya as well as chloroplasts and mitochondria. Its best characterised activity is the generation of mature 5'-ends of tRNAs by cleaving the 5'-leader elements of precursor-tRNAs. The record is from RNAcentral. Lineage: Bacteria; Bacillati; Bacillota; Clostridia; Lachnospirales; Lachnospiraceae.
GACUCCAAGGCCAGUGCAACAGAAAUAAACCGCCCGGACAGAUGCAUAUGGAUAACAGGCAGGGACAAAAGAGGUGCUGGUUAUCCAUAUGCAUCUGUCCGGGUAAGGGUGGAAAGGCAGUGUAAGAGACUACCGCCUCUCUGGUAACAGCGAGGGCACAUGUAAACCCCAUCCGAAGCAAGACCGGAAAGAAGCAAUGUGGCUGCCCGUCACGCUUCAGGUAGGUCGCUCGAGCACGGCGGCGACGCCGCGCCUAGACAGAUGAUCGUCCAACGACAUAACCCGGCUUAUCGUCUUGCUUAACAC